AAAUGUGUUGAGGCACAGCGGUCGAGAUGAAGUUUAGGGGUAAAGCACUGUUUCGGUGCGGGCUGCGAGAGCGGUACCAAAUCGAGGCAAACUCCGAAUGCCGUGCGGGUGUGGCGUGGCAGUGAGACCGCGGGGGAUAAGCUUCGUGGUCGAGAGGGAAACAGCCCGGAUCGCCGGCUAAGGCCCCUAAGCGUGCGCUAAGUGGGAAAGGAUGUGCGGUCGCGUAGACAGCCAGGAGGUUGGCUCAGAAGCAGCCAUCCUUGAAAGAGUGCGUAAUAGCUCACUGGUCGAGUGGUCGUGCGCCGACAAUGUAGCGGGGCUUAAGCGUGCCGCCGAAGCCGCGGACUCCUCCGUGAGGAGGGGUGGUAGGG
Molecule: ribosomal RNA, 371 nt
Filed under: uncultured bacterium
Lineage: Bacteria
Description: bacterial LSU rRNA
Rfam family: Bacterial large subunit ribosomal RNA
Source: RNAcentral